Molecule: long non-coding RNA, 437 nt
Organism: Corticium candelabrum
Lineage: Eukaryota; Metazoa; Porifera; Homoscleromorpha; Homosclerophorida; Plakinidae
Exons: 3
Source: RefSeq, a predicted model, not a curated record
GCCAGUUCAUGUCAGUUUGGAACAUUUCUUGGCAACUUCGAACGAGAACGAAAAGAGCUAGAAUUUAGUAGUCAAGCGUAUUCAUUGUGGGAUUUGUAUGGGAGAAUGCGAGUCAGUAUUUGAAUCUCAUGUAUCGACCAAUGACGAAAUACACUGAAAUGAUGCUUCAUCCAGACACUAGCCCACAGAGAAUACAGUUUUGUCAAGGAAUGUGCAAUCAUCAUGGUCACGCUGUGCUGCCUCUGCAAUCAACACAAUCUUGUCUUGUAAGCUUCAUACGAGAAACAGAGAAUUGGCAGAAAGAGAAAUCAGUCUUAGAACAUGUUAAUACAUCAACACAGACAGAAUCAUGGUAUAAAUAGAAUAAUAAAUCAACAGACAAGCAGACAGAAACAGAAGUGUAUUGCAAGACAAGAGUAACAAAAUAAUAAAUUUUA